RNAcentral lists this ribosomal RNA (276 nucleotides) under uncultured Brevundimonas sp. Its description in RNAcentral is "partial 16S ribosomal RNA". It matches the Rfam family "Bacterial small subunit ribosomal RNA", at positions 231 to 524 of the family's 1533-position model. Lineage: Bacteria; Pseudomonadati; Pseudomonadota; Alphaproteobacteria; Caulobacterales; Caulobacteraceae. The record is from RNAcentral.
CCGCGUCUGAUUAGCUAGUUGGUGAGGUAAAAGCUUACCAAGGCGACGAUCAGUAGCUGGUCUGAGAGGAUGAUCAGCCACAUUGGGACUGAGACACGGCCCAAACUCCUACGGGAGGCAGCAGUGGGGAAUCUUGCGCAAUGGGCGAAAGCCUGACGCAGCCAUGCCGCGUGGAUGAUGAAGGUCUUAGGAUUGUAAAAUUCUUUCACCGGGGACGAUAAUGACGGUACCCGGGGAAGAAGCCCCGGCUAACUUCGUGCCAGCAGCCGCGGUAAU